CACGGGUGCGUAACGCGUGGGAAUCUGCCCUUGGGUUCGGAAUAACAGCGAGAAAUUGCUGCUAAUACCGGAUGAUGACGUAAGUCCAAAGAUUUAUCGCCCAAGGAGGAGCCCGCGUAGGAUUAGCUAGUUGGUGAGGUAAAGGCUCACCAAGGCGACGAUCCUUAGCUGGUCUGAGAGGAUGAUCAGCCACACUGGGACUGAGACACGGCCCAGACUCCUACGGGAGGCAGCAGUGGGGAAUAUUGGACAAUGGGGGAAACCCUGAUCCAGCCAUGCCGCGUGAGUGAGGAAGGCCUUAGGGUUGUAAAGCUCUUUCACCCGUGACGAUGAUGACGGUAACGGGAGAAGAAGCCCCGGCUAACUCCGUGCCAGCAGCCGCGGUAAU
RNAcentral lists this ribosomal RNA (388 nucleotides) under uncultured bacterium. RNAcentral describes it as "bacterial SSU rRNA". It matches the Rfam family "Bacterial small subunit ribosomal RNA", at positions 100 to 524 of the family's 1533-position model. The record is from RNAcentral.